AUGACUUCUACGGGGAGUUGGGCCGUUGGCGAAGACGACGACCCAAAGACCGCCGUCGCAGCCGGCGGACUGCGAAGGAGGGCAAGCAUUCGCCGGUCUCCGAGGAGCCUGACGCCCUCCGCCGAGUGAAACGACCAGCCUCGAACUGGAGCCCAUGCCCUUAUCAUCGACGCCCUCCUCACCCAAUCCCUUAUCUUCUUCUGCUGCUGCUUGCAUCCCCUUGUAUCUGCAGAGUGCUUUUUAUUUUGACAACUGGAAUAAGGAACACUUACCAAAAGGUCUGCUUAGUUGAAUGGCCCUUUGAGCAUGUUUCCUUUGUCUCAAGGCAUAGAUUACUACAAGAAGAAGUCCAAUAAUCAGAAGGGCACAACCAACUGCUAUUCCAAUGAUCAAGCCAAUACUCAGUGCUGAUUUUACUUCAGUGCCUAGAAAUGACUUCUUUGGGUUAGUCUAGGCGAUGAUCUUGAAUUAUAUAUGUACACAAAGGAUUGAGAGGUCACCUGGGAAAGGAUAUGGGGAUGCAAUGAAGUAGUAAGGUCCAAAAAUUGGUGGAGGCUUGUAAGUUUGAUUGCUCAAAUCAAACCCAAUCUGCAAAAUUUCAGACCUGUUGAAGUACAUUCCGCUGGGUGGGAAAAGUUUAACUUGGACCUGCAGAUAAGAGUCACUGUUUAUGAAGGGAUUCUGAAGAAACACUGAUCCAGGAGGAAGGCCAAGUUUUGUCCACAGGCUGCUUUCCAGUGAUUGGAACAGUGUGUUGUUUGUCACAUCUCGGAAACGAGGUGCCCUGAAGAACAUCACUCCCUCAAAUGGGUAGGCACAGCUGCAACUCUGAGGGCUGAGACUCUGGUCUUGGGGACACAAGUUUGCUACACAAUUGGCGAGGCUGGUUGAGUAAGGUACUGCUGGCUUUUGUUGAAGACUACAAAAGUUCGUAUUGGAGAGAGAAUUGCACACAGGAUUUCCUACGAGUCUGCAGUCAGUGAUGGAUUUAGGAAAUGUUGCAUAAACAGGUAUGGUGAAUGAAAUGCACUGUAACUAAAAUGACAAAUAUCACAUUAGAGUUUUAUUGUAGUUGGCUGUCAGUUUGACUCCGGUAAGAUGAUUAUUUUUGAAAUUCACAAUUUGUAAUUGCUGGCUGAUGCUAUCACCCAUGUCAAGGGUACCAUUGAAUUCAUUGUCAUCAAGUAUCCUGUGAAAAGUUGACAAUAAUAGUUAUGUCAGACUGAGUGAGAAUUUCCUUUUCUUUUUUGUAUGGAUUCCUUCUUUCUCUGGUUCAUGAUUUUUCAUGACACUUACACUUGCUGUAAUUGAGGAAAGCCGAACAGCUUUUGUGGUACUUCUCCAUAAAGUCCUCCAGAUUCUAUCACACUGGAUAACAGGCAGCAAGGAAGCUUUGGUGAAAUUGCAAACUUGUUGACUAAAUUACUUGCUUCAUAGCGACAAUGGGUACCCAUUGAACUUACAGAGCUGUCAGAGAUUGUAGCUCCGAGAACCAAGCGGGGCUCUCUGAGGGAUCAAAUGUGUUAUUGCUUAAAUCUCUGAAGAUCAUGUCAAUGUCUUGCCAUUUACAGCUUGUUCAGGUAAUAAAACAAAAGUAGAUUUGCAAGAAAGCAUUUGCAGAAGUUGGAUGAGCUCUUACACAUAGUUGAGGUUAUCUAUCCCAGUCAGAUUUGGCAUUGGACCAGUUAACUUGUUAUUUGCUAGGUUUCUGAAAGAGAUGAAAGCAGGGAGUAGGUGCAACUAUUUUAUAAGAGUGCUGCAUGUGAAGACUACACGAUAUGAUGUAUCUUACAGUUCGUUGAUGCGCGUGAGAUUGUUAAUAUUGGAAGGAACUGUGCCACCUAGAGCAUUCCUGUCCAAUCGACUGUCAAAAAACGAAGAAAUUAGUUACUGAAGCAGAGCAUUGAAAAUUUUUGUCUGGUUGGUGGGCACUUACAGAACCUCAAGUGUUUGAACUAGUCCUAUGGAAGCUGGAAUUUCUCCAGUAAAUUUGUUCCCAUCGAAAAGCCUGCCCGUGUAGAAUGAUCAGGAGUCAUGGUAGAAGUGGAGUUACCAGAUUUAGCAGAAGUAAUGCAAGAUGGGAAAACAGCAGCUUACACAUGUAGCAAUGUCAUGUCAGAACUAAAAAGAUAUUCAGGGAUGGAACCUGAUAAUUGAUUCUUAUUGAAGUGGCUGUUCAGUGCAGGAUGCAGACGAAUCAUUCAUUAGAAAGCAAAUAAUACAAAAUUUCAUCUGUCAAUUCAUUUAAUCUGCAAUACUAAAUCUAAUUUUGACUUAUUUUUGUACUUUUUAGAAAUAUGACUUACAAAUGCUUUGUGUGGACAAGCUGGUCCAAGCCUGGUGAUGUUUUGGUAGAGAUUGGAAGAGACCCACUCAACUGAUUGUCUGCAACAUCAAACCAGUAAAGAUUGGAAAGCUUACCCAGGGAAGCUGGGAUGCUACCAGUGAACUGGUUUGAGUUAAGAGCCCUGGUGAGAAGAUAAAACUAUCAGUGGUGAGAAUUCAGAUGCUUGAUGGAUGUGUUAAAUAUUUUAGCUUGAAGACUCUGCGUUCUAAAGGUGAACUGAUUUGUGAUUAUUGAAAUCAAUCCUUACAAAUAUGAGAGGUUUACUAGAGAUCCUAGUUCAUCUGGGAUGUUCCCACUGAAGCUGCACCCUGCCAAGAUCCUGCCAAGUGGUGCAUAAUGUAGAGCAGUUCAGAAGCAUUACAUGAUGAAUACCUGAGAAUCUUUUGAAGCAAAUGGGUGAUUGUCGCGACAAGACUUCUGCCUUACAGGGUGGUAAUCUUCCUCAGGUUCGCAAUAUUUGGAGGGAGUGGACCACCAAGCUCACUAUUAUAGGAUAGAUCCCUGCAAAAGCUAUUUGCAAACUGCUCAAAGAACCAAUACUUGAGUUUGAAAGUGAACUUACAAGGUCUUCAGUUCACCAAGCUGCCCGAUGUCACCACUCAGUGUACCUUUGAUGCCCAUGGUUGACAGUCUCCUGAAAUAUGCAGAAGUCAAGUAGAGAAUUAAGAUAACAAAAACCAAAAAACAAGUUCAAAGAGGGGUUCUUUAGUGCUCAUGUUUGACAGUCUCCUGAAAUCAUGUGGAGAAUUGUGAUAAUUGAAACAAAAGAUUGUUCAGAAGAGAGGCUUACAGGACUGUCACUCUGGAAUUGCUGCAACCUAUUCCUUCCCAUGGUGUUCCACAAGGAUCAUCCGACUUUCCCCAGUUUGGAGGUGUGUUCUGCCACUGACUCAUCAAUGAACGCAGAGCAGCAGCUGAAAGUCGUAGCAGAAUAGCUUCUUAAGUCAAAAGGUACAAACAUAAGACAUCUGCUAAGCAUACAAGAAAUCUUUAAUCAGAUCCAAUAGUCAAGUGUCUGAUCCUUGCUGAGAAUUGUUCCUUGAAUUUUCUGUUAGAAGCUCUAUAAGUAUUUGUGACCAAGAACUAUUGGAGCAUGCAAAAUACUACAUGCAAUGGGGAGUUUUUCCGGCUCACUAGAAACGUGAAGUUGGAAUUUUUUUUUUGGUGAGUUGAGAAGAUCCUUUGUUCUUGCAGACAGGUUUGCGAAACAGAAUAGCAAUAACAAAGCUCAGCACUCUCAGGGGAACACUAAAACUACUACAGAUGUUGGCCCAAGAAGAAUGGAUCUCCCUCUUCUCUGCAUUCUGUUUUCCUGAUACUAGAAAGAGGAGAGAUAAACACAAGGAGUACAUACCAUCUUGGGGAUUUGUGCUUCCUGAACUGGAUCCUAAACUGACAAGGAAAACAGAUAGGGUGAAGAUGAGGGUUCCCAUCUCAGUCUGGCCUAGUAUAGAUGAAACUCCACCUCUCGCCAGACACAGUGAUCAGCUCAGCCUGGUAUUAGAAGCCAUAUUUUCUUGAAGUUAGUCUGCACAGGAGCCAACAACUGACUUGCCUGCCAUGAUUCUCCUCAUCAUAAGAUCUUGAAGCUGGCAAAAGAUCCUUUUGCCAAAAGCUGUGCCUUCUCUUCAAAGUCAGUCAACCUUGGAUGACCUCGUGAAACCAUUGAUUCCAGAAUGUCCAUUGCAAGAGGUAAGCAACUUAUCAUGUGCAAAACACAAUCAUUUGUUGGAUGUAGAGGAGGACGAGCUCAAUUGUCACAGCAUUAUCGGGGCCCUAGUUGGUGUUCUUUUUGACAACCGUAAGGACUCAGUCACUGGCAACCUUGGCGGAUGGUAGAACUCAUAAUUAUCAUUUUGUGCAUUUUGUUCUUUCCAUAUAACUCGUAAUUAUCAUUAGGCAAUCUCAGCUACGAGGACAUCACACAAUCAGCUGUGAUGAUGAGAGAGGCUACUCUUAGGCAUAAUCUUGGCUCAAAUAUAACCAGGAGACAUAAACUCCCCUGGUCUUCUAAGAGAGGCAACAAGGCUCAAGCUUUGCUUCUACUCAGGCUGACUGAUAGCAGUGGAAGUAACCUGAAGUUGCAGUUGUCACAUAUCCCAAGUCUUGGAUGGGCAAGGAUGCUUCUGCUGUUAGAUUGCAUGAACAGAGACAAAGCCAACCACAGUGGAGGGCGCUUGAGAAAGGAAGGGGUACAAUUUUGAAAUCUCAAACUCAGACAAAGAAAAAGAGGAUCAAACAAAACACAGUCAUAUGAAAGACCAUUAGUGGAAAGUAAUUAGGAUGUCAAAAACAAGAUAACACUUGUGAUAGUAUAUAUAUAUAUAUUCUUUUCUUUGAAUUUGGGACUUUGCUUUGAGUUUAAUUUAAGAUUUUUAUAUUUAGAUAUUAAAGAUUAACUAACUUUAAAGAGAAGACACUACCGAGAAUGGUGCUUUAGCUUAGAAUGUAAAGAAUGUAUCAUUGAUUUGUACGGUCAACACUAAAGAUUUGGAUUGGUGACAUUAUGACAAACUUCUUGUACAAGUCUACUAACGAGAUAUUAUGUUUGUA
Molecule: long non-coding RNA, 4900 nt
Organism: Musa acuminata AAA Group (dessert banana)
Lineage: Eukaryota; Viridiplantae; Streptophyta; Magnoliopsida; Zingiberales; Musaceae
Exons: 4
Source: RefSeq, a predicted model, not a curated record